This 524-nucleotide long non-coding RNA is filed under the name Elaeis guineensis (African oil palm). RNAcentral describes it as "long non-coding RNA (EGUI_LNC001124)". The record is from RNAcentral. Lineage: Eukaryota; Viridiplantae; Streptophyta; Magnoliopsida; Arecales; Arecaceae.
UCCUGAUCAAAUAUAAAAAUUCAUAUAUGGAGAAAAUUACUGAUAAUCGAUCCUAAUAACACAAAUCGAGGAUCUCUCUUAGAAUUAACCAAAAUUAGGACUUGUCUAUGUAUCAGGAUCCUUCAUUGGUCCAUAAGACUUCUAGAGAGAGAAAAUCCAUGAAGAGAGAGAAAAUUCUAGAGAGAGAAAGUAGAGAGAGAAAGUGGAGAGAGAAAUCUUCGUAUCCUUCCGAUGAGGCACUCAUAAUCGAGAUCAUCAGAGGACCUUUCAGAGUGACUCAAUAUGAAUCAAGUGUUACAAAUUUCGAAUAGGAUCAAACUGGGAUCAGAUCUACUGCACGAAUUUCGGAGCAAUCUCAAAUCAUCUUAUUUUCAUCUUCAAAUUUAUUCUAGGGUUCAUGAUGCAAUCAGAGAAGAAGAAAAGAUCCUAGAGAGACAAAAUCCGUAAAGAGAGAGAAAAUAUAGAGAGAGAAGGUAGAGAGAGGAGAGAGAGAAAAUUUUUCUCUCUUCUUCUUCUUUUUAUUU